GGCCUUGUAGCGCAAAAAAUAUCGCGUUGGACUUCUAAUCCAAAGGUCGUGGAUUCGAAUUCCGCCUGAGAAGGCCU
Non-coding RNA from Trichonephila inaurata madagascariensis, 77 nucleotides. The record is from the annotation of a GenBank genome assembly. NCBI's taxonomy places the organism in Eukaryota, Metazoa, Arthropoda, Arachnida, Araneae, Nephilidae.